AUUGAACGCUGGCGGCAGGCUCAACACAUGCAAGUCGAGCGGGGUGAUGGUGCUUGCACUAUCACUUAGCGGCGGACGGGUGAGUAAUGCUUAGGAAUCUGCCUAUUAGUGGGGGACAACAUCUCGAAAGGGAUGCUAAUACCGCAUACGUCCUACGGGAGAAAGCAGGGGAUCACUUGUGACCUUGCGCUAAUAGAUGAGCCUAAGUCGGAUUAGGUAGUUGGUGGGGUAAAGGCCUACCAAGGCGACGAUCUGUAGCGGGUCUGAGAGGAUGAUCCGCCAAACUGGGACUGAGACACGGCCGAGACUCCUACGGGAGGCAGCAGUGGGGAAUAUUGGACAAGGGGGGGAACCCUGAUCCAUCCAUGCCGCGUGUGUGAAGAAGGCCUUAUGGUUGUAAAGCACUUUAAGCGAGGAGGAGGCUCUUUUGGUUAAUACCCAAGAUGAGUGGACGUUACUCGCAGAAUAAGCACCGGCUAACUCUGUGCCAGCAGCCGCCGUAA
This 503-nucleotide ribosomal RNA is filed under the name uncultured bacterium. RNAcentral describes it as "partial 16S ribosomal RNA". It matches the Rfam family "Bacterial small subunit ribosomal RNA", at positions 30 to 523 of the family's 1533-position model. The record is from RNAcentral.